This 330-nucleotide ribosomal RNA is filed under the name uncultured Chloroflexota bacterium. RNAcentral's name for it is "bacterial SSU rRNA". It matches the Rfam family "Bacterial small subunit ribosomal RNA", at positions 28 to 351 of the family's 1533-position model. The record is from RNAcentral. Lineage: Bacteria; Bacillati; Chloroflexota.
GAUGAACGCUGGCGGCGUGCCUAAUACAUGCAAGUCGAACGAGGUGCUUUUGUAGCAAUACGGAAGUAUCCUAGUGGCGAACGGGUGAGUAACGCGUUGGUGACCUGCCCCAAAGUGUGGGAUAACAGUUCGAAAGAACUGCUAAUACCGCAUGUGAUCAUUGGAUUUAGAAACUGAUGAUUAAAGCAGUAAUGCGCUUUGGGAGGGACCUGCGUCCCAUCAGCUAGUUGGUGAGGUAAUGGCUCACCAAGGCGACGACGGGUAGGGGACCUGAGAGGGUGGCCCCCCACAAUGGAACUGAAACACGGUCCAUACACCUACGGGUGGCAG